UUCCAGACGAGUUGGAGGACGAAGAACCCUUAGCUGACCUUAUAGACUUCUCCGAUGCCGAGCAGUUCUCGGCCGAUUCGGACGACGAGGAAAUUGACCUGAGAUAACUGUCGAAGGGUCAGUCCAAUACGAUUUUGUUAACUUGGAAACAAAAUUAUGAGCAUAAUAGUCAAAAUAACACUCGUAACGGGUCGGACACUUUUCUCUUAAAUCAAUAACUUGAACUGUUACUCGCUUAAGAGCGACAGUUCAUUAAUGCAGUUACUUAAAUUUUGAACGCUAUCAUUAUAGGAGUCAGAACCUACUUUUUUCCUUUACUUAGUAGUUAUUCUUUUUUUUGUUUUUAAAUAUAUAAAGCAAAAUAUAAUGAACUCUUUAUCCCCUGGAAGCCGAACGCUUUCUUUUCUCCGAGUUUCUUUGAUAACAGUUCCAGCUCCCCAUCCACCUGCACAUAAAUUGUAUUACUUAUUAGGAUAUGAAAAUGAUUUUAAAACAGUUAAGAUUUCUUUUAAAUCAAAAUUUGAACUUUAUUAAUGUUUUACUGGCAGAAACAUCAAAGAAGAAAUUACCUAUUAAA
This is a non-coding RNA of Bemisia tabaci, 577 nucleotides long. NCBI's taxonomy places the organism in Eukaryota, Metazoa, Arthropoda, Insecta, Hemiptera, Aleyrodidae. The record is from RefSeq and is a predicted model, not a curated record.